CCUACGGGAGGCAGCAGUAAGGAAUAUUGGUCAAUGGACGCAAGUCUGAACCAGCCAUGCCGCGUGAAGGAUUAAGGUCCUCUGGAUUGUAAACUUCUUUUAUAUGGGACGAAAACAGAUCUUUCUAGGUCCUUUGACGGUACCAUAUGAAUAAGCACCGGCUAACUCCGUGCCAGCAGCCGCGGUAAUACGGAGGGUGCAAGCGUUAUCCGGAUUCACUGGGUUUAAAGGGUGCGUAGGCGGGUAGGUAAGUCAGUGGUGAAAUCCUGGAGCUCAACUCCAGAACUGCCAUUGAUACUAUCUAUCUUGAAUAUUGUGGAGGUAAGCGGAAUAUGUCAUGUAGCGGUGAAAUGCUUAGAUAUGACAUAGAACACCCAUUGCGAAGGCAGCUUACUACGCAUAUAUUGACGCUGAGGCACGAAAGCGUGGGGGAUCAAACAGGAUUAGAUACCCUGGUAGUCCACGCCCUAAACGAUGGAUACUCGACAUACGCGAUACACAGUGUGUGUNUGAGNGAAGACAUAAGUAUCCACCCGACGGUAGUACGUUCGUCGAGAAGUAGAACGUUAAAGUAGUAAGUUAGUUACGGCGUUGAGACGAGCCGACGGACGACGACGAGGGAGGUUAGGGAG
Molecule: ribosomal RNA, 632 nt
Filed under: uncultured bacterium
Lineage: Bacteria
Description: bacterial SSU rRNA
Rfam family: Bacterial small subunit ribosomal RNA (bases 1-534)
Source: RNAcentral